RNAcentral lists this ribosomal RNA (1550 nucleotides) under Lactococcus lactis. RNAcentral's name for it is "partial 23S ribosomal RNA". It matches the Rfam family "Bacterial large subunit ribosomal RNA", at positions 5 to 1569 of the family's 2925-position model. Lineage: Bacteria; Bacillati; Bacillota; Bacilli; Lactobacillales; Streptococcaceae. The record is from RNAcentral.
AAGUUAAUAAGGGCGCACGGUGGAUGCCUUGGCACUAAGAGCCGAUGAAGGACGUGACUAACGACGAUAUUCUAGGGGGAGCAGUAAGUACGCAUUGAUCCCUAGGUCUCCGAAUGGGGAAACCCAGCUGCUACUAGCAGUUAUUCAUGAGUGAAUACAUAGCUCAUGUAAAGGUAACGCAGAGAACUGAAACAUCUAAGUACCUGCAGGAAGAGAAAGUAAAAACGAUUUCGUAAGUAGCGGCGAGCGAACGCGAAGAAGGGCAAACCAAGAAGCUUGCUUCUUGGGGUUGUAGGACUGCAACGUGGACUUAAGCAUUAUAGUCGAAUAACCUGGGAAGGUUAAUCAAAGAGGGUAAUAAUCCCGUAGACGAAAUAGCGCUUAUACCUAGCAGUAUCCUGAGUAGGGCUGGACACGCGAAAUCCAGUUUGAAUCCGGGAGGACCAUCUCCCAACCCUAAAUACUCCUUAGUGACCGAUAGUGAACCAGUACCGUGAGGGAAAGGUGAAAAGAACCCCGAGAGGGGAGUGAAAUAGCACCUGAAACCGUGUGCCUACAAGAAGUUCGAGCCCGUUAAUGGGUGAGAGCGUGCCUUUUGUAGAAUGAACCGGCGAGUUACGUUAUGAUGCGAGGUUAAGUUGAAGAGACGGAGCCGUAGGGAAACCGAGUCUGAAUAGGGCGACUUAGUAUCAUGAUGUAGACCCGAAACCUAGUGACCUAUCCAUGAGCAGGGUGAAGGUGUGGUAAGACGCACUGGAGGCCCGAACCAGGACACGUUGAAAAGUGUUUGGAUGACUUGUGGAUAGCGGAGAAAUUCCAAACGAACUGGGAGAUAGCUGGUUCUCUCCGAAAUAGCUUUAGGGCUAGCGUCGAAAUGUAAGUGUAUUGGAGGUAGAGCACUGUUUGGGUGAGGGGUCCGUCUAGGAUUACCAAUCUCAGAUAAACUCCGAAUGCUAAUACACAUGUUCGGCAGUCAGACUGCGAGUGCUAAGAUCCGUAGUCGAAAGGGAAACAGCCCAGACCAACAGCUAAGGUCCCAAAAUAUAUGUUAAGUGGAAAAGGAUGUGGGGUUGCACAGACAACUAGGAUGUUAGCUCAGAAGCAGCUAUCAUUCAAAGAGUGCGUAAUAGCUCACUAGUCGAGUGACCCUGCGCCGAAAAUGUACCGGGGCUAAACAUAUUACCGAAGCUUUGGAUUGAUAUUUUAUCAAUGGUAGGAGAGCGUUCUUAACCGCGAUGAAGGUAUACCGUGAGGAGUGCUGGAGCGUUAAGAAGUGAGAAUGCCGGUAUGAGUAGCGCAAGAUAAGUGAGAAUCUUAUCCACCGUAAGACUAAGGUUUCCAGGGGAAGGCUCGUCCGCCCUGGGUUAGUCGGGACCUAAGGCGAGGCCGAAAGGCGUAGUCGAUGGACAACUGGUUGAUAUUCCAGUACUAGAUAUGAUCGUGAUGGAGGGACGCAGUAGGCUAAGAGAUGCCAGUUAAUGGAUUCUGGUCUAAGCAGUGAGGUGUGAGAUGUGUCAAAUGCAUUUCUCUUUAACAUUGAGCUGUGAUGG